GUGGGGAAUAUUGCACAAUGGGCGCAAGCCUGAUGCAGCAACGCCGCGUGAGGGAUGACGGCCUUCGGGUUGUAAACCUCUUUUAGUAGGGAAGAAGCGAAAGUGACGGUACCUGCAGAAAAAGCACCGGCUAACUACGUGCCAGCAGCCGCGGUAAUACGUAGGGUGCAAGCGUUGUCCGGAAUUAUUGGGCGUAAAGAGCUCGUAGGCGGCUUGUCGCGUCUGCUGUGAAAACCCGAGGCUCAACCUCGGGCCUGCAGUGGGUACGGGCAGGCUAGAGUGCGGUAGGGGAGAUUGGAAUUCCUGGUGUAGCGGUGGAAUGCGCAGAGAUCAGGAGGAACACCGAUGGCGAAGGCAGAUCUCUGGGCCGUAACUGACGCUGAGGAGCGAAAGCAUGGGGAGCGAACAGGAUUAGAAACCCCUGUAGUCC
RNAcentral lists this ribosomal RNA (430 nucleotides) under uncultured bacterium. Its description in RNAcentral is "partial 16S ribosomal RNA". It matches the Rfam family "Bacterial small subunit ribosomal RNA", at positions 354 to 796 of the family's 1533-position model. The record is from RNAcentral.